Molecule: non-coding RNA, 73 nt
Organism: Xylaria sp. FL1042
Lineage: Eukaryota; Fungi; Ascomycota; Sordariomycetes; Xylariales; Xylariaceae
Source: the annotation of a GenBank genome assembly
GCCCGGUUAGCUCAAUCGGUAGAGCGUGAGACUCUUAAUCUCAAGGUUGCGGGUAAGAUAAUACCAACAAUCA